CUCUUAACGAGGAACAAUUGGAGGGCAAGUCUGGUGCCAGCAGCCGCGGUAAUUCCAGCUCCAAUAGCGUAUAUUAAAGUUGUUGCAGUUAAAAAGCUCGUAGUUGAACUUCGGGGUUCACCCAUUGGUCAGGCUUAAUUGUCUCUACUGGUGAGAUGAGUCUCUACCUUCUGAGGAACUUUCAUGCCAUUUAUUUAGUGUGAUUGGAAAUCAGGACUGUUACUUUGAAAAAU
This 233-nucleotide ribosomal RNA is filed under the name uncultured Glomus. RNAcentral describes it as "partial 18S ribosomal RNA". It matches the Rfam family "Eukaryotic small subunit ribosomal RNA", at positions 531 to 765 of the family's 1831-position model. The record is from RNAcentral. Lineage: Eukaryota; Fungi; Glomeromycota; Glomeromycetes; Glomerales; Glomeraceae.